GGACUAAGACAUGCUAGUUGAGCGUUUCCAGCCAAUAGGAGACGCAGCGCACAGCUCAGUAACACGUGGUAAUCUGCCCUUGGGACCGGAACACCCCCGGGAACUGGGGCUAAUUCUCGAUAGGUGAAGAACUCUGGAAUGAGUCUUUGCCAAAAAGAUGCUAGAGUUAUGCUCUUUGGCAUCGCCCAAGGAUGAGGCCGCGACCGAUCAGGUUGUUGGUGAGGUAAUGGCUCACCAAGCCUUUUACCGGUGCGGGCCGUGAGAGCGGGAGCCCGAGAUGGGCACUGAGACAAGGGCCCAGGCCCUACGGGGCGCAGCAGUCGCGAAAACAUUGCAAUACACGAAAGUGUGACAGGGUCAUCCCGAGUGCCGACCGCUGAGGUUGGCUUUUACCCAGUCUAGAAAGCUGGGGGAAUAAGGAGAGGGCAAGUCUGGUGUCAGCCGCCGCGGUAAUACCAGCUCUCCGAGUGGUGUGGACGUUUAUUGGGCCUAAAGCAUCCGUAGCUGGCUGAACAAGUCCCCUGUUAAACCCACCGAUUUAAUCGUUGGCGUGCGGGGGAUACUGCUCGGCUAGGGGACGAGAGAGGCAGACGGUAUUCCCGGGGUAGGGGUGAAAUCCUAUAAUCCCGAGAAGACCACCAGUGGCGAAGGCUGUCUGCUAGAACGCGCCCGACGGUGAGGGAUGAAAGCUGGGGGAGCGAACCGGAUUAGAUACCCGGGUAGUCCCAGCUGUAAACGAUGCAGACUAGGUGUUUGGACGGCCACGUGCCGUUCUAGUGCCGCAGGGAAGCUGUUAAGUCUGCCGCCUGGGGAGUACGAUCGCAAGAUUGAAACUUAAAGGAAU
Molecule: ribosomal RNA, 844 nt
Filed under: uncultured archaeon
Lineage: Archaea
Description: bacterial SSU rRNA
Rfam family: Archaeal small subunit ribosomal RNA
Source: RNAcentral